This 72-nucleotide transfer RNA is filed under the name Dnopherula yuanmowensis. RNAcentral describes it as "tRNA-Thr". It matches the Rfam family "tRNA". Rfam says of the family: Transfer RNA (tRNA) molecules are approximately 80 nucleotides in length. Their secondary structure includes four short double-helical elements and three loops (D, anti-codon, and T loops). Lineage: Eukaryota; Metazoa; Arthropoda; Insecta; Orthoptera; Acrididae. The record is from RNAcentral.
GUUUUAAUAGUUUAAAAAAAACGUUGGUUUUGUAAACCAAAAAUAAGAAUAAGCCUCCCCCCUUUUAAAGCU